This 909-nucleotide ribosomal RNA is filed under the name Companilactobacillus crustorum. RNAcentral's name for it is "bacterial SSU rRNA". It matches the Rfam family "Bacterial small subunit ribosomal RNA", at positions 72 to 963 of the family's 1533-position model. The record is from RNAcentral. Lineage: Bacteria; Bacillati; Bacillota; Bacilli; Lactobacillales; Lactobacillaceae.
UUUGCUUCAUGAAUCACAUUUGAAUGAGUGGCGGACGGGUGAGUAACACGUGGGUAACCUGCCCAAAAGUGGGGGAUAACAUCUGGAAACAGGUGCUAAUACCGCAUAACAACUACUUUCACAUGAUCGUAGUUUAAAAGAUGGCUCUGCUAUCGCUUUUGGAUGGACCCGCGGCGUAUUAGCUAGUUGGUGAGGUAAAGGCUCACCAAGGCAAUGAUACGUAGCCGACCUGAGAGGGUAAUCGGCCACAUUGGGACUGAGACACGGCCCAAACUCCUACGGGAGGCAGCAGUAGGGAAUCUUCCACAAUGGGCGAAAGCCUGAUGGAGCAAUGCCGCGUGAGUGAAGAAGGUUUUCGGAUCGUAAAACUCUGUUGUUGAAGAAGAACAUGCGUGAGAGUAACUGUUCACGUACUGACGGUAUUCAACCAGAAAGCCACGGCUAACUACGUGCCAGCAGCCGCGGUAAUACGUAGGUGGCAAGCGUUGUCCGGAUUUAUUGGGCGUAAAGAGAAUGUAGGCGGUUUAUUAAGUUUGAAGUGAAAGCCCUCGGCUCAACCGAGGAAGUGCUUCGAAAACUGGUAAACUUGAGUGCAGAAGAGGAAAGUGGAACUCCAUGUGUAGCGGUGGAAUGCGUAGAUAUAUGGAAGAACACCAGUGGCGAAGGCGGCUUUCUGGUCUGUAACUGACGCUGAGAUUCGAAAGCAUGGGUAGCAAACAGGAUUAGAUACCCUGGUAGUCCAUGCCGUAAACGAUGAGUGCUAAGUGUUGGAGGGUUUCCGCCCUUCAGUGCUGCAGCUAACGCAUUAAGCACUCCGCCUGGGGAGUACGAUCGCAAGAUUGAAACUCAAAGGAAUUGACGGGGGCCCGCACAAGCGGUGGAGCAUGUGGUUUAAUUCGAAGCAACGCG